This 64-nucleotide transfer RNA is filed under the name Margattea cuspidata. RNAcentral's name for it is "tRNA-Gly". Lineage: Eukaryota; Metazoa; Arthropoda; Insecta; Blattodea; Pseudophyllodromiidae. The record is from RNAcentral.
ACUUAUUUAAUAUAUUAGUAUAUUUAACUUCCAAUUAAAAAGAUUGACUUCAUCAAAAUAAGUA